Molecule: transfer RNA, 73 nt
Filed under: Ovis aries (sheep)
Lineage: Eukaryota; Metazoa; Chordata; Mammalia; Artiodactyla; Bovidae
Rfam family: tRNA
About the family: Transfer RNA (tRNA) molecules are approximately 80 nucleotides in length. Their secondary structure includes four short double-helical elements and three loops (D, anti-codon, and T loops).
Source: Rfam by way of RNAcentral
UCCCUGGUGGCUCAGAGGUUAAAGCGACUGCCUGGAAUGCGGGACACCCUGGGUUCGAUCCCUAGGUCGGGAA